CUUAAUAUUGUUUUAAGGAAAACUUCAAGAGGUAGGACCAGUUUACUUCAUCCAAGCUAUGUAAUAAACACUUCUUUUGUUGAUGUUUUGUGGCGGUAAAUACUUUAUUUCUUCUGUGAUACCUCUAUGGGUGAUUAAUCUUUAUAUCAAUGUGCUUAUGAAUUUACAGAUCCGUUUGUCUGUAAGUCCCCUGGAAGAUGACAACCCGUGUGCUCACAUUUAUGUUCUUUCUCUUGCAGUUUACUGGAGAUUCAUCUGCCCAGAGUGCUAAAGAUUGACUGUUGGGAGUAACCUAACAAUAAGAGAGUACCAGGCAGUGUAUUUGAUGAGAUUGAGACUUUCUUCCUGAGCAAAUAGCAUCUCAUCUGUCUUCUGAGCAAUUUCAGUAUGGAGGGUGCUGUGUUAUUAGCAGCCAAAGUAGGCCACGAAGCAAGGCUCGAUCUGUCACUGUUUCCACAACAAAAAGAAAUCGAAGAUAUUUCUCCAGUAGGACUUCCUUCUCCUGUGUGCUCUUGCUAAUUGGCAUUUAUGCCAGAGUAAAGUUUGCAAUGCCUGUUUGAAAAUUUUGCCAAAAGGUCACAGAGUCGUUGCUAUUCCACUCAAUACCUUAAACAUCAGAUUUUGAAAUGUAAGAAGUGUGGGACCUCGAGAGGCCAAGGAAUCAGCUGCUCCUGUCCGUGAGAGCAUUCCUCUUCAG
This is a long non-coding RNA of Pipra filicauda (Wire-tailed manakin), 697 nucleotides long. RefSeq lists it as uncharacterized. The transcript has 4 exons. NCBI's taxonomy places the organism in Eukaryota, Metazoa, Chordata, Aves, Passeriformes, Pipridae. The record is from RefSeq and is a predicted model, not a curated record.